GUGCGCCUACGGGACGCAGCAGUGGGGAAUAUUGCACAAUGGGGGAAACCCUGAUGCAGCAACGCCGCGUGAGUGAAGAAGUAUUUCGGUAUGUAAAGCUCUAUCAGCAGGGAAGAAAAUGACGGUACCUGAGUAAGAAGCCCCGGCUAACUACGUGCCAGCAGCCGCGGUAAUACGUAGGGGGCAAGCGUUAUCCGGAUUUACUGGGUGUAAAGGGAGCGUAGACGGCGAUGCAAGUCUGAAGUGAAAGCCCGGGGCUCAACCCCGGGACUGCUUUGGAAACUGUCGAGCUUGAGUGAAGUAGA
RNAcentral lists this ribosomal RNA (305 nucleotides) under uncultured bacterium. RNAcentral's name for it is "bacterial SSU rRNA". It matches the Rfam family "Bacterial small subunit ribosomal RNA", at positions 333 to 655 of the family's 1533-position model. The record is from RNAcentral.